GAUGUCCCGCUUGCGGGACGGAUUAGUGGCGAACGGGUGAGUAAUACGUGAGUAACCUGCCCCUGACUCUGGGAUAAGCCUGGGAAACCGGGUCUAAUACUGGAUACUACUACUUGCCGCAUGGUGGGUGGUGGAAAGGGUUCUACUGGUUUUGGAUGGGCUCACGGCCUAUCAGCUUGUUGGUGGGGUAAUGGCUCACCAAGGCGACGACGGGUAGCCGGCCUGAGAGGGUGACCGGCCACACUGGGACUGAGACACGGCCCAGACUCCUACGGGAGGCAGCAGUGGGGAAUAUUGCACAAUGGGCGCAAGCCUGAUGCAGCGACGCCGCGUGAGGGAUGACGGCCUUCGGGUUGUAAACCUCUUUCAGUAGGGAAGAAGCGAAAGUGACGGUACCUGCAGAAGAAGCGCCGGCUAACUACGUGCCAGCAGCCGCGGUAAUACGUAGGGCGCAAGCGUUGUCCGGAAUUAUUGGGCGUAAAGAGCUCGUAGGCGGUUUGUCGCGUCUGCUGUGAAAGCCCGGGGCUCAACCCCGGGUCUGCAGUGGGUACGGGCAGACUAGAGUGCAGUAGGGGAGACUGGAAUUCCUGGUGUAGCGGUGAAAUGCGCAGAUAUCAGGAGGAACACCGAUGGCGAAGGCAGGUCUCUGGGCUGUUACUGACGCUGAGGAGCGAAAGCAUGGGGAGCGAACAGGAUUAGAUACCCUGGUAGUCCAUGCCGUAAACGUUGGGCAC
This 734-nucleotide ribosomal RNA is filed under the name bacterium. RNAcentral describes it as "bacterial SSU rRNA". It matches the Rfam family "Bacterial small subunit ribosomal RNA", at positions 70 to 816 of the family's 1533-position model. The record is from RNAcentral.